AGUGAACGCUGGCGGUAGGCCUAACACAUGCAAGUCGAACGGCAGCACAGUAAGAGCUUGCUCUUACGGGUGGCGAGUGGCGGACGGGUGAGGAAUACAUCGGAAUCUACUUUUUCGUGGGGGAUAACGUAGGGAAACUUACGCUAAUACCGCAUACGACCUACGGGUGAAAGCAGGGGAUCUACGGACCUUGCGCGAUUGAAUGAGCCGAUGUCGGAUUAGCUAGUUGGCGGGGUAAAGGCCCACCAAGGCGACGAUCCGUAGCUGGUCUGAGAGGAUGAUCAGCCACACUGGAACUGAGACACGGUCCAGACUCCUACGGGAGGCAGCAGUGGGGAAUAUUGGACAAUGGGCGCAAGCCUGAUCCAGCCAUACCGCGUGGGUGAAGAAGGCCUUCGGGUUGUAAAGCCCUUUUGUUGGGAAAGAAAAGCAGCAGGUUAAUACCCCGCUGUUCUGAGGGUACCCAAAGAAUAAGCACCGGCUAACUUCGUG
Molecule: ribosomal RNA, 492 nt
Filed under: uncultured bacterium
Lineage: Bacteria
Description: partial 16S ribosomal RNA
Rfam family: Bacterial small subunit ribosomal RNA
Source: RNAcentral